Molecule: ribosomal RNA, 255 nt
Filed under: uncultured bacterium
Lineage: Bacteria
Description: partial 16S ribosomal RNA
Rfam family: Bacterial small subunit ribosomal RNA
Source: RNAcentral
GACAGAGGCCUCAAGCGUUAGGCGGAAUCACUGGGCUUAAAGCGUGUGUAGGCGGAUCGUUAAGUGUCUUGUGAAAUCCCACGGCUCACCCGUGGAACUGCUGGGCAUACUGGCGAUCUUGGGCCAACUAGGGGCAACUGGAACAAGCGGUGGAGCGGUGAAAUGCGUAGAUAUCGCUUGGAACGCCAAAGGUGAAAACAGGGUUGCUGGGGGUUGUGCCGACGCUGAGACACGAAAGCCAGGGGAGCAAACGGG